AUUGAACGCUGGCGGAAUGCUUUACACAUGCAAGUCGAACGGCAGCACGGACUUCGGUCUGGUGGCGAGUGGCGAACGGGUGAGUAAUGUAUCGGAACGUGCCCAGUCGUGGGGGAUAACGUAGUGAAAAUUACGCUAAUACCGCAUACGAUCUAUGGAUGAAAGCGGGGGAUCGCAAGACCUCGCGCGAUUGGAGCGGCCGAUAUCAGAUUAGGUAGUUGGUGGGGUAAAGGCCCACCAAGCCAACGAUCUGUAGUUGGUCGGAGAGGACGACCAGCAAAACUGGAACUGAGACACGGUCCAGACUCCUACGGGAGGCAGCAGUGGGGAAUUUUGGACAAUGGGCGAAAGCCUGAUCCAGCCAUUCCGCGUGCAGGAUGAAGGCCCUCGGGUUGUAAACUGCUUUUGUACAGAACGAAAAGGUUUCUACUAAUACUAGGAGCUCAUGACGGUACUGUAAGAAUAAGCACCGGCUAACUACGUGCCAGCCGCCGCCGUAA
RNAcentral lists this ribosomal RNA (500 nucleotides) under uncultured bacterium. RNAcentral's name for it is "partial 16S ribosomal RNA". It matches the Rfam family "Bacterial small subunit ribosomal RNA", at positions 30 to 523 of the family's 1533-position model. The record is from RNAcentral.